UCUCAGGCCUUAGCUCCUAGAAGACAUUUCUAGACACAUCCUGGGCUAGAAGGAGACCUACUGCCUUGAAGGGAAGGACCUGUUUUUGGCAGGAUUCUUCACCUGCUGACUAAAGAGCCCUUGAUAUCCACAUACAAAAUAAUGAAACUAGACCUGUAUCUCUCACCAUACACAUGGAUUAAAUGAAAAUGGAUUGAAGAAUUAAAUGUAAGACCUCAAACUAUGGAACUACUACAGGAAAACACUGGGGAAACUCCCUAGGACAUUGGACUGGGUAAAGAUUUCUUGAGAAAAAUACCUCCAAAACAUAGGCAACCAAAGCAAAAAUGGACAAGUGGGAUCAUGCCAAGUUAAAAAGCUGCAAAGCAAAGAAACAACAAAGUGAAGAGACAACCCAGAGAAUAAGAGAAAAUAUUUGCAAAC
This 423-nucleotide long non-coding RNA is filed under the name Homo sapiens (human). RNAcentral describes it as "non-protein coding lnc-CD1A-1:3". The record is from RNAcentral. Lineage: Eukaryota; Metazoa; Chordata; Mammalia; Primates; Hominidae.